Polistes canadensis is the source of this 1560-nucleotide long non-coding RNA. RefSeq lists it as uncharacterized. The record is from RefSeq and is a predicted model, not a curated record. NCBI's taxonomy places the organism in Eukaryota, Metazoa, Arthropoda, Insecta, Hymenoptera, Vespidae. The transcript has 3 exons.
GAGAUUAAUUUAUUUUUGAGUAUCGUCGUCUCGUCACUACUUUUCGUGCUGACGACGACAACGCUCAUUAGGAUAUCCGUUCGGCUCUCAGCAGCCAUUUUUCUCGCAUGUAACACGUUUAAAGCCAGUAUAUCUCUUUAUCAACAUCGUUUGAUUCAUGUUCGUGGUAAUGUAUAUAUAUAUAUGAAUGUGUGUAUACGCACAUAUAUAAACUCAAUGUGAUAACUCUUGCAACUAGUUACUUUAAGACUAGCAAACUACUACUAACAGUAACAACAGUGGAACGAUAACUAAAGAAUAAGACAAGAAGAAGACUGGUACAAGGUGGGCCGAAAGUUCUAAGUUUAUCGCUGUACGUGUAACGGGCUCUCAGUUGAUGUUCGCUUUCGUUUAAUUCUUUUACAUCAGCUGAUACAGUGUAAAAACUGUUUAGGCACGUGUAUGUCUGCUGUGUCUGUAAUGAUAUAAACGAAGUCACAUUUUUCAUAUUUUUUUCUUCGAAUUUUUUUUUAUUUCCAUAUUUAAUCAAGUUUAAUUUUAUAACAGGAAGCAUCGUUCGGAAGUAAAAGCGAUUCGAUUAUCGUCAUUAACGUUAUUGGCAUCGUCGUUAGGUUCUAACCAAACGUUGAUCGUUCGUUCCAAAGAGGGAGAAAAGGAGAGGAAAGGACGUGACGACGCCACUGGAAUUGAAGCUCGAGUUCUCGUGAAGCACACAACGGACAACUACGACGAUGCGUACACGCGACGUGUCCUCAUCACGAAUAUUCGUGAUGUCAACGAUGAUUCUAAUUUCCAUUUGGGUUGCUAACAUAUAUUUCAUAUUUUUAUCUUUUUAAAGGUCGCAAACCGAAAGGAAUUUCUUUUAUUUUUUUUAUAAAGAAGUCGCCAAACAAAAAUGUAAUUUUGUUGUUUUCGUUAUCAAAAGAUUAUGAAAAUAAAUGCUCGAUCGUUUUUUUUUUUUUGUAAAAUCAACGUUAAUCGGAUUAUCGGAUUCGUUUAUAUUCAUUAUCAUUCAUGAUUGAUCGAUUGUGAAUUAUUCAAAAGCGCGGGUAAUUUAAAUAUCAAUAGUCGAGUAGUUACGCGAAAAUGAUUGUUUUUGUAGAAAGGAGGAGAAACACGUGCGCUUACAUUGAUGGAGAAGAAGUAGAGUGUGGUAGUGGUCGUAGUGUGUAGUGUAGUAAUAAUAAGAGCAGGAGUGGGAGGUUAAGCUAUUUCGAUAGUGGAGGUGGAAGAAAAAUGACGAAAGCUAAGCGCAAGAAAAAUACAAUUCUUUGAGCGAGAUUUUAAUAAAAAAGAAAAAUACUUCGCGCAUUGACAAAAAACGCGAAUGGACGACUUUGCAAUAGUAAAAACCGUAGAAAAGAGAUCACGUGUUACUCGAUAAGAAAAAAAGAUUAAAAUGUUUGCAACCAUUUAAAAAAAAAAAAAAAAAGGUAAAAGCGACGCCAUGAAAUGCGAGUACGAGGCACAUGGCACGUAGCCCACGAACCGAAACACGUCCAUCACAAAACUUCACGUUUCAACAAAAAUUUGAUUGUAUUAAUUUAAAAUAAUUCACAG